This is a non-coding RNA of Canis lupus familiaris (dog), 83 nucleotides long. NCBI's taxonomy places the organism in Eukaryota, Metazoa, Chordata, Mammalia, Carnivora, Canidae. The record is from Rfam.
GCCUGGGUGGCUCAGUGGUUGAGCAUCUGCCUUUGGCCCAGAUCGUGAUCCUGGGGUUUUGGGAUCGAGUCCCACAUCGGGCU